GUUUCAGCCGCCGCGGUAAUACGAAGGGGGCUAGCGUUGCUCGGAAUUACUGGGCGUAAAGGGAGCGUAGGCGGACAUUUAAGUCAGGGGUGAAAUCCCAGAGCUCAACUCUGGAACUGCCUUUGAUACUGGGUGUCUUGAGUGUGAGAGAGGUAUGUGGAACUCCGAGUGUAGAGGUGAAAUUCGUAGAUAUUCGGAAGAACACCAGUGGCGAAGGCGACAUACUGGCUCAUUACUGACGCUGAGGCUCGAAAGCGUGGGGAGCAAACAGGAUUAGAUACCCUGGUAGUCCACGCCGUAAACGUUGGGCACUAGGUGUGGGGGACAUUCCACGUUUUCCGCGCCGUAGCUAACGCAUUAAGUGCCCCGCCUGGGGAGUACGAUCGCAAGAUUAAAACUCAAAGGAAUUGACGGGGCCCCGCACAAGCAGCGGAGCAUGCGGCUUAAUUCGACGCAACGCGAAGAACCUUACCAAGGCUUGACAUAUACCGGAAUAUGGCAGAAAUGUCAUAGCUGUAAAAGGUCGGUAUACAGGUGGUGCAUGGUUGUCGUCAGCUCGUGUCGUGAGAUGUUGGGUUAAGUCCCGCAACGAGCGCAACCCUCGUUCUGUGUUGCCAGCAUUUAGUUGGGGACUCACAGGAGACUGCCGGGGUCAACUCGGAGGAAGGUGGGGAUGACGUCAAAUCAUCAUGCCCCUUAUGUCUUGGGCUGCACGCAUGCUACAAUGGCUGGUACAAAGGGCUGCGAUACCGCAAGGUGGAGCGAAUCCCAAAAAGCCAGUCUCAGUUCGGAUUGGGGUCUGCAACUCGACCCCAUGAAGUCGGAGUUGCUAGUAAUCGCAGAUCAGCAACGCUGCGGUGAAUACGUUCCCGGGGCUUGUACACACCGCCCGUCAAAC
RNAcentral lists this ribosomal RNA (898 nucleotides) under uncultured Actinomycetes bacterium. RNAcentral's name for it is "bacterial SSU rRNA". It matches the Rfam family "Bacterial small subunit ribosomal RNA", at positions 505 to 1402 of the family's 1533-position model. The record is from RNAcentral. Lineage: Bacteria; Bacillati; Actinomycetota; Actinomycetes.